GCCCGGAUGGCGGAAUUGGUAGACGCGCUGGUCUCAAACACCUGUGGAGUUACAUCCAUGUCGGUUCGACUCCGACUCCGGGUACAA
RNAcentral lists this transfer RNA (87 nucleotides) under Sphingobacteriales bacterium. RNAcentral describes it as "tRNA-Leu". It matches the Rfam family "tRNA". Rfam says of the family: Transfer RNA (tRNA) molecules are approximately 80 nucleotides in length. Their secondary structure includes four short double-helical elements and three loops (D, anti-codon, and T loops). Further hydrogen bonds mediate the characteristic L-shaped molecular structure. tRNAs have two regions of fundamental functional importance: the anti-codon, which is responsible for specific mRNA codon recognition, and the 3' end, to which the tRNAs corresponding amino acid is attached (by aminoacyl-tRNA synthetases). tRNAs cope with the degeneracy of the genetic code in two manners: having more than one tRNA (with a specific anti-codon) for a particular amino acid; and 'wobble' base-pairing, i.e. permitting non-standard base-pairing at the 3rd anti-codon position. The record is from RNAcentral. Lineage: Bacteria; Pseudomonadati; Bacteroidota; Sphingobacteriia; Sphingobacteriales.